This is a small nucleolar RNA of Cephalotus follicularis, 107 nucleotides long. It matches the Rfam family "Plant small nucleolar RNA R71". Rfam says of the family: R71 is a member of the C/D box family of snoRNAs containing the C (UGAUGA) and D (CUGA) box motifs. The record is from Rfam. NCBI's taxonomy places the organism in Eukaryota, Viridiplantae, Streptophyta, Magnoliopsida, Oxalidales, Cephalotaceae.
AAACCAUGAUGAGCACACUCUAAGAGAAGAUCCUUAAAACGUUCCAUACACCUAGAAAAUGAUUCAUUUGGUUUUUGACGAAACUGGACAAUGUCGUUCAUAAGUUU